RNAcentral lists this ribosomal RNA (460 nucleotides) under uncultured bacterium. RNAcentral describes it as "partial 16S ribosomal RNA". It matches the Rfam family "Bacterial small subunit ribosomal RNA", at positions 338 to 795 of the family's 1533-position model. The record is from RNAcentral.
CCUACGGGAGUCAGCAGUGAGGAAUAUUGGUCAAUGGGCGUAAGUCUGAACCAGCCAAGUCGCGUGAGGGAUGAAGGCUCUAUGGAUUGUAAACCUCUUUUAUAAGGGAAUAAAGUGCGGGACGUGUCCCGUUUUGCAUGUACCUUAUGAAUAAGGAUCGGCUAACUCCGUGCCAGCAGCCGCGGUAAUACGGAGGAUCCGAGCGUUAUCCGGAUUUAUUGGGUUUAAAGGGUGCGUAGACGGCUUUUUAAGUCAGCGGUGAAAGUCUGUGGCUCAACCAUAGAAUUGCCGUUGAAACUGGGAGGCUUGAGUAUGUUUGAGGUAGGCGGAAUGCGUGGUGUAGCGGUGAAAUGCUUAGAUACCACGCAGAACCCCGAUUGCGAAGGCAGCCUGCCAAGCCAUGACUGACGCUGAUGCACGAAAGCGUGGGGAUCAAACAGGAUUAGAUACCCGUGUAGUC